CACGUAAACAACCUGCCUUCAGGAUGGGGACAACAGACGGAAACGACUGCUAAUACCGAAUAAGUUCCAAGAGCCGCAUGGCCCAUGGAAGAAAAGGUGGCCUCUACCUGUAAGCUAUCGCCUGAAGAGGGGUCUGCGUCUGAUUAGCUGGUUGGAGGGGUAACGGCCCACCAAGGCGACGAUCAGUAGCCGGUCUGAGAGGAUGAACGGCCACACUGGAACUGAGACACGGUCCAGACUCCUACGGGAGGCAGCAUG
This 258-nucleotide ribosomal RNA is filed under the name uncultured bacterium. RNAcentral describes it as "partial 16S ribosomal RNA". It matches the Rfam family "Bacterial small subunit ribosomal RNA", at positions 114 to 353 of the family's 1533-position model. The record is from RNAcentral.